UGGGGAAUAUUGGACAAUGGGGGCAACCCUGAUCCAGCAAUGCCGCGUGUGUGAAGAAGGCCUUAGGGUUGUAAAGCACUUUCACCCGCGAAGAUGAUGACGGUAGCGGGAGAAGAAGCCCCGGCUAACUCCGUGCCAGCAGCCGCGGUAAUACGGAGGGGGCUAGCGUUGUUCGGAAUUACUGGGCGUAAAGGGCGCGUAGGCGGCUUUGUCAGUCAGGCGUGAAAGCCCCGGGCUUAACCUGGGAACUGCGCUUGAUACUGCGGAGCUAGAGAUCGGGAGAGGAAAGCGGAAUUCCGGGUGUAGCGGUGAAAUGCGUAGAUAUCCGGAGGAACACCAGUGGCGAAGGCGGCUUUCUGGACCGACACUGACGCUGAGGCGCGAAAGCUAGGGGAGCAAACGGGAUUAGAUACCCCGGUAGUCCUAGCUGUAAACGAUGAUCGCUGGGUGUGGGGGGUUUUUACUCCCCCCGUGCCGAAGCUAACGCAUUAAGCGAUCCGCCUGGGGAGUACGGUCGCAAGGCUG
This 525-nucleotide ribosomal RNA is filed under the name uncultured bacterium. Its description in RNAcentral is "bacterial SSU rRNA". It matches the Rfam family "Bacterial small subunit ribosomal RNA", at positions 355 to 896 of the family's 1533-position model. The record is from RNAcentral.